GGGAUAAUCUGACCACAGCUUUUUGCACAGUGAGGGCCAAACAAUUUCAGCAGCAGUGUUGACCGUUCUGCGCCACAGUCCAACAGGAUUGAGAUACCAAUGGUUAAACUAGCAAUAGAACAUACUGCUAUUGCUAAAUAAAAAUAACCAAGCACCUGCACUUUAGAGCAGGACUUGGACUAGUCCGAGGACUUGGGCUAGGGGAGGCUGGUGAAAGCAAAUUGUUUCUUCACUCAGCUGCGUCUGCUUACUGCUGAGAGUAACUUUACAGGAAAGGAACCACUCCCACACACUGUGGAUGUGUCUGAACAUGCUGUCUUUGCCACGCAAGGAUUAAUUCACAAGGACUUGAAAUUGUAUCAGAACUGGUUUUCGGCCAAACAGCCAACCAUUAUUAACGACUUCGAGUCAUUGAAAUCCAACAUGGAUGUGUCCCGGAUUUCUGGUGCCUGGGAUAUUUUCCAGAUCAAAUUAGUGGUUUCUGUGUGAUGCGAAAAACUGAAGGUUUGUGUGAGUUGCUGUGUGCAAUACAUAUUCUUUUCUGUACAUUUCUGAUGCAUCUAUGGUACUGUAUCUUUUAAUCUUUCUCAGUGAUAUUGCUUUUGAUUUUCAGGUAACUUGGGCCAAAACUCAUCAGUCAGAUUUUAUCGUCCUCUUAUGCUCCCUCUAACUCUUCUCAGAGUAAAGAUUUCAAAAGCAAUUUAGAAAUUCUGUCAACAUCUACGAGAGAGCCAGGAGUAGGAAAAUUAUAUCUUUCUGUACUUCUCCUUAGGACAGAGUAGAGUAAAGGAGAAAGCGUUUUCUGAAAAGGGAUUCUUUUUGACCAGAAAUUUGAGUAAAUUUCUUGUCUCUUACAAGAUACAAGUGGAUCUAAGAAAGUCACACUGUUUAUCGUCAGAUCUAUUGGUGUAUAGAUUUGAAUAGACUCUAAAUGUUUCUUCAACCCACCUUCCCAAAGAAAGUAGGCUGUCUCUGUAUUCAAACUACAAAGAGUGUAUAAUCUUUGAAAAAAGAUUGAAAGCAUCUUCCUACUGUGAUAUUUUUGUGUAGAAAGCUGACUGCUGUGGGGCUGAGUUUGUGUUGGAAAAAAUGUCAUUUUCAAAGAAGAUAAAAUUCAGACUUUUACUUUCAAUAAUUAGAACGGUGAACUCUUUGAAAUUAUGCUUCUUAUUUCACGUCUUCAACAAGGCUGACCAGCAAAUGGUUCUGUAAACAAA
Molecule: long non-coding RNA, 1217 nt
Filed under: Phasianus colchicus (ring-necked pheasant)
Lineage: Eukaryota; Metazoa; Chordata; Aves; Galliformes; Phasianidae
Description: lncRNA (ENSPCLG00000003154.1)
Source: RNAcentral